UAAUGAUAGUCUUUUGUCUUUUUUAGAUCAUCUGGCAAAGAGAUUUGCAGAGUGUCGGGUGACCGGCAAAGAGAUCUGCAAAGUGUCAGUUGAAGACGACGGGAGGGGUCGCAGAGGAAUUAGUGACUGGAGAAUAGCAUGCAGGAGUGGGUGAACCCUGAAUAGCUGCCCUGGGAGGAGAGCUGUGGACACAUGCUCCAAAUGUUGGGACAUAUGACGUAAAGAUGCCGGCUGUCGGGAUUACGGCAGUCAGAAUACUGACACUGGGAUCCCGACACUCUUAGGAAUCCCGACGUUGGAA
Long non-coding RNA from Pseudophryne corroboree (corroboree frog), 301 nucleotides. RefSeq lists it as uncharacterized. The record is from RefSeq and is a predicted model, not a curated record. The transcript has 2 exons. NCBI's taxonomy places the organism in Eukaryota, Metazoa, Chordata, Amphibia, Anura, Myobatrachidae.